Molecule: long non-coding RNA, 1009 nt
Filed under: Bos indicus x Bos taurus (hybrid cattle)
Lineage: Eukaryota; Metazoa; Chordata; Mammalia; Artiodactyla; Bovidae
Description: lncRNA (ENSBIXG00005012878.1)
Source: RNAcentral
UUCUAUAUUCUUCUAUUGGAGAAUUUAUACAUAGAUGUAGUAAUUGCUAUUUUUUUAUGAAGUCCUUACUAUGUGGCAGGCACUGUGCUGACUGGUUUACGCAAACAUUCUUUACUAAUCUCACAACAAACCUGUGAUUGAUGGAAUUACUGUCCCUAUUUUACAGAUAUGGAGACCAGGACUUGGAGAGGCUAAGAAAUACCUUCAAGAUCAAAUAAGGACAGUGACAAGAUUCAUACCCAUCUGCCUGAGUCUUAAGCAUUUUGCUACUUUGAACCUAGGUCCAUCCUGCUCAUCUUUAGAGCCUCGCUGUUCUUUAUCCCCGGUAGCCAGCAGGGUACUGAGCCCUUGGAUCUCAGCCACAGACCUUGUGCUCCCAACCCAUGGGCUUCCCAGAGAGACCGCAGAUUGGCUGCCAACACCCUGAAGACAGCAAGGCUGCCCAGUCCCCCAAGGCCUGCCAAGGACAGAUUCUACCUGCAACGUGGACCCAGAGAGUCAUUCUCGAACAAAGGAACCCCAGAGGCCUGAACUUACUCAGAAUUGACUUCUGCGUCCUUCUAUUAUUGGGACUGACAUUUGAAGUUUUUAGAAUGAUUUAUUUUAGAGCAAUAGGAGUUGAAGGGCUUUCUUGAUGGCUCAGACUGUAAGCAGCCUGCUUGCAAUGCGGGAGACCUGGGCUCAAGAGCUGCGUCGGGAAGAUCCCCUGAAGAAAGGAAUUGCUACCCACUCCAGUGUUCUUGCCUGGAGAUCCCAUGGACAGAAGAACCUGGCAGGCUACAUACAGUCCAUGGGGUUUCAAAGAACGAAACUUUCAAAAAGCUUCCUCAAAUCAAUGCAAAUAUUAAUGGCGGUGUAUAAAUAAGAGACAUAAACAAAUUAUUAAUGCAAGAGGAUCCCUACUGGUGGAUAAGCAUAUGAAAACAAGUCUAAAUUUAUGACUAAUAAGACGUUAAAAUGAAAGUCAUGAAGUAUGAAUUCUUAGCAAUAAACUAUGCAGUAUUCAACA